This is a non-coding RNA of Pimephales promelas (fathead minnow), 2162 nucleotides long. Lineage: Eukaryota; Metazoa; Chordata; Actinopteri; Cypriniformes; Leuciscidae. The record is from RefSeq and is a predicted model, not a curated record.
CUCUCCUCCACUAUCUUAGUGAUCCCCGAAAGGGACCUAUUUGGACUUUACUGCAGCACAAAGCACAGAAAGAAUAGAAUAUAAGAGAUUAUAGUCGUGCUGAGACCAAGCAGAAAGAAAGAGUUGAGGGAUGGAGAGACACUGAAACAGGACAGGAAAAAGGAGCACAGAGUGAUGCCAAGUAGAAGGAACACCAUGAAGAUGCGCGCGAGUUCGGUGAUGCCCUGCCUGCUCUUACUAUGGUUAACGUGUACAUGCGUGCAUGCAGAAUGUCCCGCCGCUUGCUCGUGUAGCGAGAGCCAUAGGACCGUUGACUGUUCCUGGAGGGGGUUUCGGCAUCUGCCGACGGGCCUGCAGAGAAACAUCCAAUCCCUCAAUCUGACUCACAAUCGGCUAUCUGACCUUGACCACCACCUGAGCUCCUUCACACAUCUGCGCAUCCUGGACAUCUCCUAUAACCGUCUUCUUCAUUUCCCAGCAUCCCUGCCACGGGCGCUGUGGGAGAUCAACAUCUCGGGAAACCGCCUACGUGUACUACACAAGGAUGACACGGCAUUCCAGUGGAACCUCAGAGUUCUGGACCUGUCCGUCAACAAGCUGGAGCGUGUGGUCUUCAUCAACAACACACUCCCCAACCUGAAGGCUCUCAACCUCAGUCAUAACAAGUUCUGGACCGUGCCCACCAACAUGCCCCAAAACCUGGAGGUGGUGGAUCUAUCCCACAACACUCUGGUCCAGAUCCUGCCGGGGUCCCUGAUCCGGCUACACAGGCUGGCUCAGUUCUACCUGCAUGCAAAUCACUUUACUAUGGUCAGCGAAGGGGCAUUCGAGCAUCUGCAAGGUCUGAAGCUCAUUACUCUCGGGGACAAUCCGUGGGCUUGUGAAGAAACCGCCAACAUCAGCCACCUGGUGCUGUGGACCAAACACACUUCCGCCAGAGUGUUGGGCUGCCCCUGCCACACCUGGCACACCUGCGGAGAAGCUCACAUGUCCAGGCACUUUGGCACCUACACACUGUCCCCGUACGUCUUUGGAACAGAGGAGCCAAGCCAUCCCUAUGUACAAGCGGUCACCACACACUCCUGGACAGGGACGUCACUCCUAAACACCUGGGAAGGAUCCCGAAGCACCAAGAACGACUCGACUUCUGAGGUUUCCGAUUCAAAAAGUACAGAAGGCCCAAUCACACCAGUCGACGAGUCCACCACCAUCUCCACCACCCGCAGGACCACCACUCUCCGCACGAGGAGCGUGAAGAGACCCAAUCAGAACCUCAGCAGAAACACGAGCUCGGGACGCAGUGGUGGCUCACUCUACACAUCCGUCUGCUGUCUGCUGCCCCUGGUGGCCGUGACACUACGGCUCUGACGGUCACCAGAACAACACUGGACCAUACUAAAAAUCAGGAAACACUGCACAUCCCCACUCGGAGAGAUAUAACACGUUUACGCUGAACACUGCUGGUGCUGAUCAGAGAAAUGGCUCUAAAGGUGGACAUCUGUGUGGUCCUGCUGGUUGUGAUGUCUGGCUGUAUGAUGGUCCAAAUACAGGCUACUGAUCCACAGACCAACACUACUGCGUCUAACAACCCCACAGCCAACAGCACAAGCAAUAGCUCUACUUCACCCACACCAGCCCCAACCAAGAAUGGCAAUGGCAAUAACCAGAACAUGAACGGCGCCACUACAGCCAGUUCCUCCGGCAGCACAAAUAAUAUUAUGAACAACUUCAACAGCAACAUCAACCAGAACGCUAAACAAACAACUCCUAUCCCCCAUGCUAGCAGUUCCUCCUCUUCCUCCAUGACUUGCUUCUUCAAGCUUCUGCUGUCUGUGUUCAUGGCUCUGCGCUUUCUGCCGAUCAUACAAUGACCAUCAACUCUUGUGCUUCGAAGGUAGACAAUCAUGUAAGAUUCUUCAGAGACUUAAUAGUCCGUUUCUGAAACGCUACAAAGUUUUAUAGAUGUUGUGCAAACAGCUUUUUGCUUAAGAAUAUUUCAAAUAUUGUUACUAUUCGCACCAUUAUUCAGCAGGCAGUCUGGGUAUCUUUAAUUUUUUGUUGUAAAAUGCUGUAAUAUCUUCAUAGAUUUCCCCUUUGUUGAUUAAAUGAUCUAUCUGUUAUUACUUUAUUGGUUGUUCUCUGUAGCAAUAAAACUUUGAACA